Paramuricea clavata is the source of this 2682-nucleotide non-coding RNA. The record is from the annotation of a GenBank genome assembly. NCBI's taxonomy places the organism in Eukaryota, Metazoa, Cnidaria, Anthozoa, Malacalcyonacea, Plexauridae.
CAAAAUUUUAGACGACACUUUUAUGGGAAAAAUUUUGGCUAUGAAUAUAGUUCAUAGCCGCUUUAUUGAAAAUAUUUAAUGAAAUAACAUAAUCUCUGACAUCAAAAUAAUACUGAAGUCUAGAUUGAUUAUAUAAGUGUUCUAUAGCCAGUAAAGGUGGCAGGAAUAUACGCGUUAAAAAGUUCAUAUAUAUAUAAUUAUAUACAAUCAGAUACAAAAUAAAUGCUUAUGAUAUUGCUGGCAGGCCUGCGGGAGGAGGUGGGUAAAUUCUGAGUUCUUCACUUGACCACUGAUAUUGGAGACUUGCAAAAUAUCUAAGUUAUCUUGGUUUAAUACCAAGAGAUCGACCUUGAUCUUGGCCCAGCUGUUACGUAGUUCAAGUGCUCUAAAUUUCCUCCCUCUUCAACAGGCGCGCCAGGGAUUAACAUUAAAUAUAAUUAAAUUGUUACUCACUUAUCUAAUUAGUUCAGGUGUGACAUAAAAACCCAUAUUUCGUGGGAAAUAUUUCUAUUUAUGUCUCCACCUUCCCUUUCGAGUUUAUGAGGAUCAAACAGCGUUGCAUUAACCGAACUUGGUUUACUGGCAUGCAGGCACAAAAUUUUAGACGACACUUUUAUGGGAAAAAUUUUGGCUAUGAAUAUAGUUCAUAGCCGCUUUAUUGAAAAUAUUUAAUGAAAUAACAUAUUCUCUGACAUCAAAAUAAUACUGAAGUCUAGAUUGAUUAUAUAAGUGUUCUAUAGCCAGUAAAGGUGGCAGGAAUAUACGCCAAAGGCUUUGCAAUUCGCCCUAACCAUCUAGGGACGAAUCAAAAGUCUCCCCACCCGAGAGAAUGCAACGCUACAUGGCCUCAACCAUACACGUAUGACUUUACAUAUUAGAAAAUUCUGAAAGAACGUCACGAGAUAUAACCUCAAAAAUUAUGAAAGUUGAAGGCAGUCGCCCUUGCAGACUGCUCCAAAACUAGCAUACUCGAUAUAUGGAAACUGGUAUAAAUGUAUACCUAGCGAAGUCGUUGAUCAGCCGCCCUUGCAAGCUGUCUGAAACAUGUUUUACAACGUGAUAGCAGUAGCCCCUGCCAACUGUCUUGUCAUUAUUAAACUGAGUAUUACGAAAAAAUGGCAGCUGCCCUUGCUAACUGCUGAAACAAGCCUUAAGUAUAUAGCACAAAGCGAGUUGCACAAACAGACAAUAAUUUGGCAAACCUAAGAAAAACGUGGCAGAAAGGUAUUGUCAGCCCCUGUAUGACAACAUCGCCCUGCCACCCUUAAAGCCUCCACCGGACAACACCCCGCAUUGUUGUCCAGGGGAGGGUUAAAUAUCUAUAAUUUAUGACGCUGUAAGGGUUGAAACUCGAAUGUAUUUGUGAAAUGCAUUGGACUUCCAACGACCCAAGACGCGAAUCUGCGCAUCAGACAAGCCCUGCUCAGCUGCGAAUGAUGCUGCGCCAAUUCGGAAACUGUGAGAUUUAUAAACCGUAGGAUUGAGGUUGCAAAAUUUUAAGCAUUGAUUGAGAUAGGAAAUAAACAUGUUUCUCGGCACCGUCGCCCCCACAGGAGUCAUGAAAAUUGGCCUAGGAGAAUUGCCACGGCGGGUCAAAUAAUUGCACAAAAGUUGUACAGGGCAAGGCUUGGGGGUUGGCUGACGAUAAAUGGCCAUGGAAAACGGGCGUUGGUUGUAAUUGUGUUUAUAGUCGGUGAAGGUUAUUUUAAAACCAAUUACUUCACCGUCUCUUAAGAGUUUGGUGAGUUGGUUUAAAUGUAGUGGAAUAGGAGACUGCUUUGAUGUUGAAGUUAGUUCGCCAAUACGUAGAAAGGCGAAGAAUGCCAGAGCACACAUGGCUUUAAAUUGGCAUUGAUCAUAUGUAGUGGUAAUACACUGUGAAGCAGCCAUAAGUAAUCGGGUAAGGAUUGGAAGGGUUAUUGGUAACCGACUAUCCAAGCGAAAGCCCAGUUUUCCAUGGCCCUUUAGCAUUUGCAUAAUGAAAAAGGCUUUUGUUGGGUCAGUCAAAUUGAAAAGUUUAUGUGAAUACCCGAUAGCGGAGACAUAUGUGUUGACAGUUGCGGGGGCGUACCGCCGAUCAAACAUGUAUGCAAUGAAAAGUGCCAAAGUAUGAGGUGAAAUAGGCAAUGUGUAUGAAAUAGUAUCGGAUAUAUGUAAAUAGAACUGGUCAAAAAGUUUCCAAGCGCGUUGAUAAGUAAGAAUCGAAGAGCGCUGCAGACUGGAUCGUGUCAAGAGGGAAACUAUAUUUCCCAAUUUCGUGGCAGCAGAGCUUGAGGGAUGUCUGUUGCGCAAGAAUUCAUCGAGGCUGAUGUUUCGCGUUGAAAGGUUUGAACCUGAAAGCGAGACAACAGGUCAGCCAAACGAUUAUACGUCCCAGGGAUAUGCUUUGCUUUGAAUAGAAUAUUAUGUUGCAGGCAUACAAGAACAAGUUUCCGAACAAACUGCAUCAGAAUCUUGUCCUUGCAUGACUGUUUAUUGAUGACAUAAACCAAAGCUUCGUUAUCGGUGAAAAAUAAAACACUGUGGUUCGCCAUCUUAUGACCCCAUAAGCAGAGACUAAGUACAAUCGGAUAAAACUCUAAGAUCGCGAUGUUACGAUAACGCCACUCGUCAGGCCAGAGGCCAUGGCAAUAUUCUGUGCCAAAAAUUGCGCCGAAACCAAUUCCACCCGCAGCAUCCGUG